Paramuricea clavata is the source of this 127-nucleotide non-coding RNA. The record is from the annotation of a GenBank genome assembly. NCBI's taxonomy places the organism in Eukaryota, Metazoa, Cnidaria, Anthozoa, Malacalcyonacea, Plexauridae.
AUCUUUCGGAACUGAGUCUAGUUCCUUCGACAUCAAUGUAAUCUAAUAAUCAUGAUAUUCUUAUCAUCACCAUCAUGAUUAUUAGAUUACAUUGAUAUAGAAGGGACUAGACUCAGUUCCAAAAUAU